RNAcentral lists this long non-coding RNA (314 nucleotides) under Mytilus galloprovincialis (Mediterranean mussel). The record is from RNAcentral. Lineage: Eukaryota; Metazoa; Mollusca; Bivalvia; Mytilida; Mytilidae.
GCACUCGAAAAAAAUAAACAUUGUGAUUCAUCCGACAAAAAACGGUUAAAUUCAAUCAAUUACUCGUAAGUCAUGGACAUAUGGUGUAAAAAUUGUUAAUCAAAUAUUCCUAAUAUAUUUUCCGGUAUAUUCAUUUUUAGUUUGUAUAAACAACUGUUAACGUCAUUAUCAAACUACGUUUUUACGUCUAUAUUUUCCCGGACCAUCGCACAUUAGCGUAUGGAACCACGUAAUUUAGAGUAGACCAUCGCACUUUAGCGUGACCAUCGUACUUUAGCGUCCCCAUCGCACUUUAGAGUCCUACAUAUUUAAUU